Molecule: ribosomal RNA, 556 nt
Filed under: uncultured bacterium
Lineage: Bacteria
Description: bacterial SSU rRNA
Rfam family: Bacterial small subunit ribosomal RNA
Source: RNAcentral
ACGGGUGAGUAACGCGUGGGAAUCUACCGUACCCUACGGAAUAGCUCUGGGAAACUGGAAGUAAUACCGUAUACGCCCUUCGGGGAAAGAUUUAUCGGGGUAUGAUGAGCCCGCGUUGGAUUAGCUAGUUGGUGGGGUAAAGGCCUACCAAGGCGACGAUCCAUAGCUGGUCUGAGAGGAUGAUCAGCCACAUUGGGACUGAGACACGGCCCAAACUCCUACGGGAGGCAGCAGUGGGGAAUAUUGGACAAUGGGCGCAAGCCUGAUCCAGCCAUGCCGCGUGAGUGAUGAAGGUCUUAGGAUUGUAAAGCUCUUUCACCGGAGAAGAUAAUGACGGUAUCCGGAGAAGAAGCCCCGGCUAACUUCGUGCCAGCAGCCGCGGUAAUACGAAGGGGGCUAGCGUUGUUCGGAAUUACUGGGCGUAAAGCGCACGUAGGCGGGUAUUUAAGUCAGGGGUGAAAUCCCAGAGCUCAACUCUGGAACUGCCUUUGAUACUGGGUAUCUUGAGUAUGGAAGAGGUAAGUGGAAUUGCGAGUGUAGAGGUGAAAUUCGUAGA